This 1332-nucleotide ribosomal RNA is filed under the name uncultured bacterium. Its description in RNAcentral is "bacterial SSU rRNA". It matches the Rfam family "Bacterial small subunit ribosomal RNA", at positions 28 to 1381 of the family's 1533-position model. The record is from RNAcentral.
GACGAACGCUGGCGGCGCGCCUAACACAUGCAAGUCGAACGAGAGAUGAGGAGCUUGCUCUUCAAAUCGAGUGGCGAACGGGUGAGUAACGCGUGAGGAACCUGCCUCAAAGAGGGGGACAACAGUUGGAAACGACUGCUAAUACCGCAUAAGCCCACGGCUCGGCAUCGAGCAGAGGGAAAAGGAGCAAUCCGCUUUGAGAUGGCCUCGCGUCCGAUUAGCUAGUUGGUGAGGUAACGGCCCACCAAGGCGACGAUCGGUAGCCGGACUGAGAGGUUGAACGGCCACAUUGGGACUGAGACACGGCCCAGACUCCUACGGGAGGCAGCAGUGGGGAAUAUUGCACAAUGGGGGAAACCCUGAUGCAGCGACGCCGCGUGGAGGAAGAAGGUCUUCGGAUUGUAAACUCCUGUUGUUGAGGAAGAUAAUGACGGUACCCAACAAGGAAGUGACGGCUAACUACGUGCCAGCAGCCGCGGUAAAACGUAGGUCACAAGCGUUGUCCGGAAUUACUGGGUGUAAAGGGAGCGCAGGCGGGAGAACAAGUUGGAAGUGAAAUCCAUGGGCUCAACCCAUGAACUGCUUUCAAAACUGUUUUUCUUGAGUAGUGCAGAGGUAGGCGGAAUUCCCGGUGUAGCGGUGGAAUGCGUAGAUAUCGGGAGGAACACCAGUGGCGAAGGCGGCCUACUGGGCACCAACUGACGCUGAGGCUCGAAAGUGUGGGUAGCAAACAGGAUUAGAUACCCUGGUAGUCCACACCGUAAACGAUGAUUACUAGGUGUUGGAGGAUUGACCCCUUCAGUGCCGCAGUUAACACAAUAAGUAAUCCACCUGGGGAGUACGACCGCAAGGUUGAAACUCAAAGGAAUUGACGGGGGCCCGCACAAGCAGUGGAGUAUGUGGUUUAAUUCGACGCAACGCGAAGAACCUUACCAAGUCUUGACAUCCCUUGACGAUGCUGGAAACAGUAUUUCUCUUCGGAGCAAGGAGACAGGUGGUGCAUGGUUGUCGUCAGCUCGUGUCGUGAGAUGUUGGGUUAAGUCCCGCAACGAGCGCAACCCUUAUGGUCAGUUACUACGCAAGAGGACUCUGGCCAGACUGCCGUUGACAAAACGGAGGAAGGUGGGGAUGACGUCAAAUCAUCAUGCCCUUUAUGACUUGGGCUACACACGUACUACAAUGGCGUUAAACAAAGAGAAGCAAGACCGCGAGGUGGAGCAAAACUCAGAAACAACGUCCCAGUUCGGACUGCAGGCUGCAACUCGCCUGCACGAAGUCGGAAUUGCUAGUAAUCGUGGAUCAGCAUGCCACGGUGAAUACGUUCCCGGGCUU